Molecule: ribosomal RNA, 468 nt
Filed under: uncultured bacterium
Lineage: Bacteria
Description: partial 16S ribosomal RNA
Rfam family: Bacterial small subunit ribosomal RNA
Source: RNAcentral
GACGAACGCUGGCGGCGUGCUUAACACAUGCAAGUCGAACGGAAAGGCCCUGCUUUUGUGGGGUGCUCGAGUGGCGAACGGGUGAGUAACACGUGAGUAACCUGCCCUUGACUUUGGGAUAACUUCAGGAAACUGGGGCUAAUACCGGAUAGGAGCUCCUGCUGCAUGGUGGGGGUUGGAAAGUUUCGGCGGUUGGGGAUGGACUCGCGGCUUAUCAGCUUGUUGGUGGGGUAGUGGCUUACCAAGGCCUUGACGGGUAGCCGGCCUGGGAGGGUGACCGGCCACAGUGGGACUGAGAUACGGCCCAGACUCCUACGGGAGGCAGCAGUGGGGAAUAUUGCACAAUGGGCGGAAGCCUGAUGCAGCAACGCCGCGUGCGGGAUGACGGCCUUCGGGUUGUAACCCGCUUUCGCCUGUGACGAAGCGUGAGUGACGGUAAUGGGUAAAGAAGCAACGGCUAACUACGUG